RNAcentral lists this transfer RNA (85 nucleotides) under Alphaproteobacteria bacterium. RNAcentral's name for it is "tRNA-Leu". It matches the Rfam family "tRNA". From Rfam's summary of the family: Transfer RNA (tRNA) molecules are approximately 80 nucleotides in length. Lineage: Bacteria; Pseudomonadati; Pseudomonadota; Alphaproteobacteria. The record is from RNAcentral.
GCGGGCGUGGUGGAAUUGGUAGACACGUCGGAUUUAGGUUCCGGUGGAGAAAUCCAUGGGGGUUCAAGUCCCUCCGCUCGCACCA